Molecule: long non-coding RNA, 244 nt
Organism: Seriola dumerili (greater amberjack)
Lineage: Eukaryota; Metazoa; Chordata; Actinopteri; Carangiformes; Carangidae
Exons: 3
Source: RefSeq, a predicted model, not a curated record
AGAUAGGGCCAAGAGGUGACAACAGCUGCACCAGGCUGGGAGGCAUCUGCCAACCAAACCGAUUCAUCUGCCAAGGCAGGUACCUAAAAGACAAGUGUUCAGGGAUCAAGAAGCGGCAGUGUUGUAUGCCAGUUGGAGCCUGGAGUGUCCUUUGCGCUGGUCACCACAACAACAGAGUGAGGGCAUGCGAUGUGCACGGCUGUGGAGCUUUCAACUCCAAAAGAGGUAAUGGCCUCCAUAAAGC